GAUGAACGCUGGCGGCGUGCCUAAUACAUGCAAGUCGAGCGAACAGACGAGGAGCUUGCUCCUCUGAUGUUAGCGGCGGACGGGUGAGUAACACGUGGAUAACCUACCUAUAAGACUGGGAUAACUUCGGGAAACCGGAGCUAAUACCGGAUAACAUGUUGAACCGCAUGGUUCAACAGUGAAAGACGGUUUUGCUGUCACUUAUAGAUGGAUCCGCGCCGCAUUAGCUAGUUGGUAAGGUAACGGCUUACCAAGGCAACGAUGCGUAGCCGACCUGAGAGGGUGAUCGGCCACACUGGAACUGAGACACGGUCCAGACUCCUACGGGAGGCAGCAGUAGGGAAUCUUCCGCAAUGGGCGAAAGCCUGACGGAGCAACGCCGCGUGAGUGAAGAAGGUCUUCGGAUCGUAAAACUCUGUUAUUAGGGAAGAACAAAUGUGUGAGUAACUAUGCACGUCUUGACGGUACCUAAUCAGAAAGCCACGGCUAACUACGUG
This 497-nucleotide ribosomal RNA is filed under the name uncultured bacterium. Its description in RNAcentral is "partial 16S ribosomal RNA". It matches the Rfam family "Bacterial small subunit ribosomal RNA", at positions 28 to 507 of the family's 1533-position model. The record is from RNAcentral.